This 5946-nucleotide long non-coding RNA is filed under the name Brassica napus (rape). Its description in RNAcentral is "long non-coding RNA (BNAP_LNC000114)". Lineage: Eukaryota; Viridiplantae; Streptophyta; Magnoliopsida; Brassicales; Brassicaceae. The record is from RNAcentral.
UUUGUUCUCUAAUCUUUCCAACGACUUUCAAAAUAUAUAUGCUUAGUCAUUGCAUUUUAGUAAAUAACAAAUCAUUUCAAUAAGGUUUUCGUCGCUACCCACCAUCCCCGUGUUAUCAUUUCAUUUCAUUACAAAACACAACUACACAUCAAUCAUCAUAUCGUAUCAUCUUUACAACAUCUCUCUAAGGUUUUUAUUACAUCGAUCAAAGAUUUCAGUUUUCUUAUUUAUUUCAUUUCUGUGUUUCACAAAUAAAUAAAAAAUGGGAGGGUACAGAGCCGACGAUGACUAUGAUUACCUCUUUAAACUAGUCUUGAUCGGAGAUUCUGGCGUCGGAAAAACUAACCUCUUAUCUCGGUUCACUAGAAAUGAAUUCAGUAUCGAGUCAAAGUCAACCAUCGGUGUCGAAUUCGCUACGAAAAGCGUUCACGUCGACGAGAAAAUCAUCAAAGCUCAGCUUUGGGAUACCGCCGGUCAAGAAAGGUAAAUGUUUUGUUUUUUUUCUUUUUAUUCUCGUUAUCAGAAUCGUAUUUGAGAUUUAUGAGACCAUGAUCAGUUUUAUGUUAAUUUUAAUAAAUAAGUUCAAUAAUUUGGAGACCAUGCAACUUAUAUAUAAUAUUUAUUUGAAAUUCGCAAACUAUUGUGAAUGUUACAUCCGAUUGUGCUACACAGAUACAGAGCAAUCACGAGUGCAUACUACAGAGGAGCCGUAGGGGCUCUGCUCCUGAACUUUAAUCGGAAUCCUCUAAAACCCCAAAAGCGCCAAGCUUUCACUCUCCUCCUCCUAAGCUUCGAUUCUGGAGCUCACUCUUUCUUCAAUGGCGUUAACCAGCAACAAAGUCCCUUCUUUACGCCUUAUACCCACCACCGGAACACUCUUAAACCCAUCAAAAUCGCUCUCGCUUCCCAGAGUUUCGUUCUCUCUCUCUUCCGCUGCUUCUCCCAAGCUCACGACUUCAAGAAAGGUAAGGCCUUUUCUAAUGGGUUUGUCUCGAAAAUGCAAAUUUAACUGUUCCGAUGGCGAAUCGAUACUCUAGGUGAUAGCAAUGGCAGUGGAAGGUUCGAGAGAUUUGGAGAUGUCGAACUUAACGGCGUUAUCGCCUUUGGACGGACGUUACUGGGGGAAAGUUAAGGACUUGGCUUCUUCUAUGAGCGAGUUUGGUUUGAUUUACUUCAGAGUACUUGUUGAGGUAUUAAGGAGAAUGUUUAUGUUCUGCUUCAUUGAUUGAUUGAUGUUUGUGUUGUUUUAAUGCGCACGUGCGUAUGUUUGGUUUAGAUUAAAUGGCUUAUUAAGCUUUCAAAGAUUCCUGAAGUCUCUGAAGUUCCAAGCUUUAGUAAAGAAGCUGAGGUUUACUUGCAAGGGAUCAUCGAUGGGUUUGGCGUGGAUGAUGCGUUGGAAGUUAAGAAGAUUGAGAGAGUAACGAAUCAUGACGUGAAGGCUGUUGAGUAUUUCUUGAAACAAAAGUGUGAAUCUCAUCCAGAGAUUGCUAAGGUUACACGCUUCUCUCUUGGUCCAAGUUCUUACGGUUUGGGUUAAGUUUCUCUGUCUUUUGAAUCAUUUCAGGUUCUUGAGUUUUUUCAUUUUGCUUGCACGUCUGAGGACAUCAACAAUCUAUCACAUGGUUUGAUGCUUCAAGAAGCACUUAGCUCGGUUGUACUUCCAGCCAUGGAUGACCUGAUCAAGUCAAUCUCUCUGAUGGCUAAGGAGUUUGCAUAUGUCCCCAUGCUUUCAAGAACUCAUGGCCAGGUCAAUCUCCAAAGAUAAAUACACCAUUUUUUUCUACAGUAAUUCGUUUUUAUCCAUCCCUUUGUUAAAGCAAUGGUCAAAACUAAAAUUGCAGCCAGCUUCACCUACAACACUAGGGAAAGAAAUGGCGAUAUUCGCUGUGAGGUUAAGCGAAGAGAGAAGAUAUCUUUCAGAAACUAAGAUCAAGGGCAAAUUUGCAGGUGCUGUUGGGAACUACAACGCUCACAUUUCAGCAUAUCCUAAUAUCGACUGGCCUCAUGUUGCAGAGGAGUUUGUUACUUCUCUGGGAUUAACCUUUAACCCAUACGUCACUCAGGUAUAUACUUACUAUAUAGUUUUAUCUUCAUUACAUUUUUUCCGCAUAUAUCAUUGAGUGAGCGAUUGUUCUCAUGGUUUUUUUGCAGAUUGAGCCUCAUGACUAUAUGGCUAGACUAUUUAACACGAUCAGCCAGUUCAACAAUGUUUUAAUUGAUUUCGACAGAGAUAUAUGGAGCUACAUUUCUUUAGGUUACUUUAAGCAGAUAACUAAAGCUGGUGAGAUUGGAUCAUCGACAAUGCCUCACAAAGUGAACCCUAUUGACUUUGAGAACAGUGAAGGGAACCUAGGUAAAGCUAACGCAGAGCUUACUUUCCUCAGCAUGAAGCUUCCCAUUUCACGAAUGCAGGUUUGAGCAUUUUCUCCUUUUAUGUAGAUCUCUUCUAGAGCAAUGGGAAUUGGGAGUCUGAAAACAAAAUGUACAAAUGUGCAGCGUGACUUAACCGAUUCGACUGUCUUGAGAAACAUGGGUGGAGCUUUAGGACACUCUCUUCUUGCUUACAAGAGCGCCAUACAGGGAAUCAGGAAGCUUCAGGUAUUAUUAUUACCGUAUCCCCUAAGAAAGGUUUCUUUCUGUCAUAAUAGGCUAAGAAUGUUUCUUGGUGUAUAGGUUAAUGAAGCUCGGUUAAAAGAAGAUUUGGAUCAAACUUGGGAAGUUCUCGCUGAACCGAUACAAACUGUAAAACCUCUCUUGAGUUUCUAGUCUUCUGUUAAUGAUCUAGCUACUUCCAUGUAUAUCACUGAUUCAUGGUAUUGUCUUACAAAGGUGAUGAGGAGAUAUGGAGUUCCGGAGCCGUAUGAGAAGCUGAAGGAGCUGACAAGAGGAAGAGCAGUGAAUGAAGAAAGUAUAAGAGAGUUUAUAAAAGGUUUGGAUUUGCCUGCAGAAGCGAAAUCUCAACUUUUGAAGUUAACUCCACACACAUAUGUUGGUGCUGCUGCUGCGUUGGCUUUGGCCGUCGAUGAAGCUCUGCACUUGUGACAGUGAUGAUGAUCAGUGAUCAUAUCGGUGAUAAGGUUGUGCUGUUGUACUAUUACUCUUCUCCAAAUGAAAUAGGAAGAAGUAGUGAAGAACAAAGAGUCAGAUUGAUGAGUUCUACGUUGUCGUUUUGAGUUGCAUGUCAUAUGAAAGAAAUUUUUUACAUUUGAGUUAAAUAAUAAAGAAUUUCAAAUUAUUUUCUUUUCAUUUGACUGGUUUAGGUUUUUUAUAAUCAAGUGUUUGUUAAUCAAUAUCCAGGCAAACGUGAAAUGAAUAGAGUAGUUAAGUACAUUGGGAAUUGAUGUCAUAUUCAGAAUUAUAACCGACCCAUACCAAAAACUCGAACUGACCCAACCAAACUUUAAACUAAACUAACCAAAAUAAACCGAAUUUAUUUAAAAUGUUAAGAAAAUUAAACUGUUGACCAAAAAAAAAAAAAAAAUUAAACUAAAUUUAACCGAAAUCAAAAUUUUCAUCUAAAUUUUCAAAUUUCGGACUAACCGAAUACCGAACCAAAUUUUAUUUUCGGAUUAAUUUGGUAAAACUUAUGUCGAACCGAAUUAACAGAAAAUCAAACUAUCCGAGCUAACCGAAUUCACAUGCCCAAUUCUAUUUAUUGUUAGCACUUACAUGAACACAUACGUUUUACCAUGUCUCAUGUCAAAUAAAGUUUACAAGAUCUACGUAGUUCUAUUUAUUGUUACCAUUUUUACAUGUACACAUGUUUAUCAUGUCUUCUUCUUUUUUUGUAACACUAUCAUGUCUAGUCUCAGAAAAAAAAAAUCAUUAUGUUUAUUUUAGGGUUGGUAAGAUGUAUAUUAGGUCUCAAUCCCUUCAAUAUUUUUAACAACUAUUGUUAUUUAUUCAUAAAAAGUACAAACAAUAACCAUAAAUACAUUGAACAUAAUUAAUCUGAAAGAACAAAAACAGUUAGAAAGUAAAAACUGAUGAUACUUCUCUAUAAGAGGUCUUGUUAUCUGAGCUUCAAACAAAUUAACUUGUUAGUUUGCUUCUGCCUAUUCACUCUUGAUCCCAUACGAUUUUCAAGUUCGGCUAUCACCCAUAGAUGAAAUUCCAAACUUUAUAUCAUAACAUAAUCACUACAAUACCAAUUUUUUUUUUUUUGUAUAACAUUAGCCCACUCCAAAUUUUAGAUCUAAAAAUAUCUUUCUAUAAAGAACCCAAUGUAUUAGUUCUUUUGAAAAGAAUAAAAAUUGAAGUUACCAAUUUUCAAUGACUAUAGAAACAUCACCGUACAACAAAAGUAGUAUAUCUUCAGUUACGAACCAUUGUCUCCUCCAUAGAAGUUUCCAUAGUUUCAUCAAUAAAUCAGUUUUCUCAUAUUCAUAUACCACAUAUAUUGUAUCCAAAUAUGAGCAUUAAUCGAUUCUUCCUUUCGUGUUGCAAGUCUCUUUGCUUGGCUAUCAAACUUUCAUCAUCAAACUUUAAUAGCCAAAAGUAACAAGCCAUCUUCAAAUUAUCAUAUAAUUUUUCUGACGGAUUAUCUUCCACCAGUAGAAGGAAGAUGAAAGUACGUUUAAGAUAGCAUCUCAUAAGAUGUGGAAUAGAUUUUCCUAAAAUCUGAUCCAAAAAACCAUAGAAAUUGGCCAUCGGUCAUGGGUAUAAUAUAAAGACCAAGUCGGAGAUAGAAGAUGCAUAAUGGAUGCAACCGUGCAACAUCUCACAAACCUAAGCCCGCGCGCAAGUAAAACGUUCAUUCAAGAGUCAUAAAUCGGCAAAGCAAAAAUUGGCCCCUAGAAACAAGAAAGGUACAUCUCACCCAGAUCAAAGAUUUAGCGUUUUCAAAUGGAGAUCGGAAUAGAUCUAGAAUGAUCAAUUUACAAAAUGGAUCAAAAGAUAUCUCCAGAAUAAUCAAUGGUGUAAGAAUCAACCAAAGAAACAAUGAUGUAUUCUUCAUUAAACAAUUCCGGUGAAGAAACAAAAAGUAAUAGGAAAGAGUUGUUCGUACGGAGUUGUUCGUACAUACUCCCUCACUCGUUCGUCUUCUUCCUCGUCGCUUAAGACUAGGCAUUCAUCAAAUGACGCAAAUGGUAGAAAAUCAGUGAGAAAGGCAUGAAUUGAAGCAUAAUAAAAUCAUCGCCUUUCUGAUUGCAGAGCGUCUCAAUCCCUUCAAUUAUUCAAAAACACCAAAAGUCUAAAAACAUGUGGCUAUCAAUAAUCUCACAUCUACUCCAUAGUUCCUAAAACAUUAACUGAAAAUGUCAUAAAAUUAAAACGACAAUUUAUUAGUACCAUAAGUAACAUUUUGCAAAAUAUCUUCCUACAUAUUGCUAUCUUUUUAUUUAUGGAAAGUUUCCUAGUGGUUUGAUUUGACCAAAGCUAUCAAUUAAAUUAAAAAAAAUAAUAUUCGAUACAACCAUAAUAUAUAUUCUGCAAGUGUAUUUGUUCUGCGUUUACCAAUUCAUGGCGGCCACAAACCUCGAGACAUCGUCAAACUCAAACAUGUUUGUUCUCUAAUCUUUCCAACGACUUUCAAAAUAUAUAUGCUUAGUCAUUGCAUUUUAGUAAAUAACAAAUCAUUUCAAUAAGGUUUUCGUCGCUACCCACUAUCCCCGUGUUAUCAUUUCAUUUCAUUACAAAACACAACUACACAUCAAUCAUCAUAUCGUAUCAUCUUUACAACAUCUCUCUAAGGUUUUUAUUACAUCGAUCAAAGAUUUCAGUUUUCUUAUUUAUUUCAUUUCUGUGUUUCACAAAUAAAUAAAAAAUGGGAGGGUACAGAGCCGACGAUGACUAUGAUUACCUCUUUAAACUAGUCUUGAUCGGAGAUUCUGGCGUCGGAAAAACUAACCUCUUAUCUCGGUUCACUAGAAAUGAAUUCAGUAUCGAGUCAAAGUCAACCAUCGGUGUCGAAUUCGCUACGAAAAGCGUUCACGUCGACGAGAA